Molecule: ribosomal RNA, 253 nt
Filed under: uncultured bacterium
Lineage: Bacteria
Description: partial 16S ribosomal RNA
Rfam family: Bacterial small subunit ribosomal RNA
Source: RNAcentral
GACGAACCGUGCGAACGGUGUUCGGAAUCACUGGGCUUAAAGGGUGCGUAGGCGGGCUGUCCAGUCUGGGGUGAAAUCCCACGGCUCAACCGUGGAAAUGCCUCAGAUACUGACGACCUCGAGGGAGGUAGGGGCGAGCGGAACUGUGGGUGGAGCGGUGAAAUGCGUUGAUAUCCACAGGAACUUCGGUGGCGAAAGCGGCUCGCUGGACCUCUUCUGACGCUGAGGCACGAAAGCUAGGGGAGCAAACGGG